CCCUUAGAUGUUCUGGGCCGCACGCGCGCCACACUGACACAGGCAACGAGCUUUCCUUUACCGAAAGGUAUGGGUAAUCUUUUGAAACUGUGUCGUGCUGGGGAUAGAUCCUUGCAAUUUUUGAUCUUAAACGAGGAGUUCCUAGUAAGCGCGAGUCAUCAACUCGCGUUGAUUACGUCCCUGCCCUUUGUACACACCGCCCGUCGCUACUACCGAUUGAAUGGCUUAGUGAGGCCUCAGGAUCCGCGCUUAAUGUGUGGAGAAUUUGGACAAACUACGUCAUUUAGAGGAAGUAAAAGUCGUAACA
Molecule: ribosomal RNA, 307 nt
Filed under: uncultured eukaryote
Lineage: Eukaryota
Description: partial 18S ribosomal RNA
Rfam family: Eukaryotic small subunit ribosomal RNA
Source: RNAcentral